This 413-nucleotide long non-coding RNA is filed under the name Ananas comosus (pineapple). RNAcentral describes it as "long non-coding RNA (ACOM_LNC012361)". Lineage: Eukaryota; Viridiplantae; Streptophyta; Magnoliopsida; Poales; Bromeliaceae. The record is from RNAcentral.
ACUUCUAUUCGAUGUGAGUGUCACGUCCCGGAUUCCUCGUUUCCCCGGGCACGCUAACAGACCCGCCGUAUAUAUAAAAAUUUUCUCUGUAUACGAAGCGAAACUGUAUAAGAACCUGUAAUCAAACAACACUACAACCAGUAGUAUAGAGCUGCUAGAAAGAAAUAAAACAUAAAUAAAAACAGAAGUUCACUAUACAUACAUAACAUCCAGGUGUACAAAACGCUCGCUCCGGCGAGAUACAACAUAAGUAUGUAUAAGAACUCAAAACUACCGCUACCUGAAGCUAGUAUACUCUAGAUCAGUAGCAACUGGGAAGGGAUUUAACUCGCGACUCCCUUUCCACGAUUCGAAUCCGUAGUAGCAGCAGCCGCAGCCGAAGGCUCUGCAAAAGAUUUCAACAACUGGGGGUG